This 611-nucleotide ribosomal RNA is filed under the name uncultured bacterium. RNAcentral describes it as "bacterial SSU rRNA". It matches the Rfam family "Bacterial small subunit ribosomal RNA", at positions 338 to 951 of the family's 1533-position model. The record is from RNAcentral.
CCUACGGGAGGCAGCAGUGAGGAAUAUUGGACAAUGGGCGCAAGCCUGAUCCAGCCAUGCCGCGUGCAGGAAGACGCAUCUAUGGUGUGUAAACUGCUUUUGUACGGGAAGAAACACUCCCUCGUGAGGGAGCUUGACGGUACCGUAAGAAUAAGGAUCGGCUAACUCCGUGCCAGCAGCCGCGGUAAUACGGAGGAUCCAAGCGUUAUCCGGAAUCAUUGGGUUUAAAGGGUCCGUAGGCGGUUUAAUAAGUCAGUGGUGAAAGCCCAUCGCUCAACGAUGGAACGGCCAUUGAUACUGUUAGACUUGAAUUACUAGGAAGUAACUAGAAUAUGUAGUGUAGCGGUGAAAUGCUUAGAUAUUACAUGGAAUACCAAUUGCGAAGGCAGGUUACUACUAGUGGAUUGACGCUGAUGGACGAAAGCGUGGGGAGCGAACAGGAUUAGAUACCCUGGUAGUCCACGCCGUAAACGAUGGAUACUAGCUGUUGGGCGCAAGUUCAGUGGCUAAGCGAAAGUGAUAAGUAUCCCACCUGGGGAGUACGUUCGCAAGAAUGAAACUUAAAUGAAUUGACCGGNUGAGAGAGACGACGACGACGACGAGGGAGGAGG